Molecule: ribosomal RNA, 592 nt
Filed under: Lithosoma novaezelandiae
Lineage: Eukaryota; Metazoa; Echinodermata; Asteroidea; Valvatida; Goniasteridae
Description: partial 16S ribosomal RNA
Rfam family: Bacterial large subunit ribosomal RNA
Source: RNAcentral
CGCUCCUCGCUGAAUAUUUUGGUGUAUGAGGAGUCCUGCCUGCCCAGUGACUUUUGUGGUUAAACGGCCGCGGUAUUUUGACCGUGCGAAGGUAGCAUAAUCAUUUGCCUCUUAAAUAGAGGCUGGUAUGAAUGGCAAGACGGGAGUUUGACUGUCUCUUUUUUAGAAAAGUUGAAUUUUAUUUCUUUGUGAAGAAGCGAAGAUGUGAUCGUAGGACGAGAAGACCCUGUCGAGCUAAAGAAGUGGGUGAUAAGUAUCGGAAGUAUUCUUUUGCUAAUUUAUUAUAUGGUAAUAGUUAAUUUUACUUGAGAUAUGAGUAUACUAUGUAAUUUCUUUUUUGAUUGGGGCAAUCGCGGAGAAUAAGAAACCUCCGUUGUAAGUUAAUAUUUAAAGGAACUUCUUUUGUAGUAUAAAAAUAUGUGUUUAUGAUCCACUGGAAAGUGAGCGAAGGAACAAGUUACCGCAGGGAUAACAGCGUAAUUUUUUUGGAGAGUUCAUAUUGAUAAAAAAGUUUGCGACCUCGAUGUUGGAUCGGGAUUUCCAGGAGAUGCAGAAGUUUCCAAGGGUUGGUCUGUUCGACCAUUAAAAUCCU